Molecule: long non-coding RNA, 206 nt
Filed under: Panax ginseng (ginseng)
Lineage: Eukaryota; Viridiplantae; Streptophyta; Magnoliopsida; Apiales; Araliaceae
Description: long non-coding RNA (PGIN_LNC013685)
Source: RNAcentral
GCUUCCAACUAUUAGGGCUUUGAUAGUAAAUAAUUGGAAAGUUUGACAUCAAACCUUAGUUUCUUCCACAAUUUUUUGACAAAAAUUUCCCACAACUUGUAUAUAGUUCGAGUUGAAAACUAACCGGGAUCGAACACUUUCAAGAACAUAUUUUUGUUAAGAUAGAGAGGACAAAUCAAGGUAAACACUAGGAAGAACAUAUAUGC